CCGACCUUAGCUCAGUUGGUAGAGCGGAGGACUGUAGUAGUAGCAGAAUAUCCUUAGGUCACUGGUUCGAAUCCGUUAGGUUGGA
This 85-nucleotide transfer RNA is filed under the name Brassica oleracea var. oleracea. Its description in RNAcentral is "tRNA tRNA-Tyr". It matches the Rfam family "tRNA". Rfam says of the family: Transfer RNA (tRNA) molecules are approximately 80 nucleotides in length. Their secondary structure includes four short double-helical elements and three loops (D, anti-codon, and T loops). Further hydrogen bonds mediate the characteristic L-shaped molecular structure. tRNAs have two regions of fundamental functional importance: the anti-codon, which is responsible for specific mRNA codon recognition, and the 3' end, to which the tRNAs corresponding amino acid is attached (by aminoacyl-tRNA synthetases). tRNAs cope with the degeneracy of the genetic code in two manners: having more than one tRNA (with a specific anti-codon) for a particular amino acid; and 'wobble' base-pairing, i.e. permitting non-standard base-pairing at the 3rd anti-codon position. Lineage: Eukaryota; Viridiplantae; Streptophyta; Magnoliopsida; Brassicales; Brassicaceae. The record is from Rfam by way of RNAcentral.